Condylura cristata (star-nosed mole) is the source of this 1405-nucleotide long non-coding RNA. RefSeq lists it as uncharacterized. Lineage: Eukaryota; Metazoa; Chordata; Mammalia; Eulipotyphla; Talpidae. The transcript has 5 exons. The record is from RefSeq and is a predicted model, not a curated record.
ACGGGGUGUAGCUGCAGGGUGAAGGGGUGUGUCCCUGAGAUGCGUCCUGCGGGAGGCGGGCAGCUGGCAUGUUGCAAAGACCCUGGCGGGGCGCCGAGGUGGUGGGUCUCGCCGAGAAGUGGAGCAGCUGGCACUGCCCACAGCACUCCCACCUGCUCUCCCUCCCGCAGAGAGGCCUGCAGCGGGCCGGUGGGGGCCGGUGGGGCAGACACGGGCAGCUCGGAACCAGACCUCCAGUCUUCAGGCAGUGAGCCUCGGCGUCACGGGGACAUCGCCUAGGACGCUGGGUGUCAGGAGCGUCGUGUUGAAGGUCACAUGCACGUUUGUCAGAGCCACAGCUUGCGGGGCCACGAAAGGAUCUUCGGAAGACACUGCAGCGGCGCUUGUCAGCCUUCCUGGCCUCCGUCAAACAGGAUGUGUCUCGUGCUCUGUCUGCCGUGCGAGGCCUGAACCGCAGUGCUGAAGAGGGAGAGGACGCCCCUGUCGUCGGUUACGCCCACCGGUGGGGCCUGCACACCCUCUCCUGCUGGGCCCCAAGAUGAGUCACUCACGAGCUCUUAGGCUUCGUUGUCAACAGUAGCUAAAGAGUCCUGCGACUCGAGGUUGUCCUGAGGGUCUCGCUGUUGGCGAGGUCAGGGAGUGAGGACUCCACGCUGGCGGCGCUCGACGGGACCUGCCCAGCACAGGGGCCGCUCUACCGGGGCGCUCGGGGAUUUCCUGUGAAGUCGGGGACCUUGGGUUUGAGUUCUGAAGCACGAAUAAAGUUCAGACUGAUGCACCAGCGUGUGGGCAUCAGCGAAACCCUGGGAGAGCAUGUCACGUUGUGGUCACUCGGGGCACGUCCUCCCCCCCUGGGUGAGGGCAGGCGGCUUUCCCACGGUGCAGACUGCCCCUUGUGGGCGGCAAACCACUAACGGCUUUCGCACUGCUCAGAUCUCACAGCCGGCAAAGGUGCCGAGAGCGGCAGAUGUGGAAAUGAGAAGGGACACAAUUAGGGGGCCUGGGUUGGGGCCACCCUGGGCCCCCGGCGGCAGUUGCCCACUGAAGGGCACCAGCCUGGGCACCGUGUAUUUCACAUCCAGCCAUGCCCUUUCCUGGCCAGUUUGACAAACGCGGGCGCUGCUGGCCUCGCUCGCCAAGGACACCCUGGCGCUGCCGAGGUAGAGCCAGCCAAGGGGCCUUUCCUCGUUUGUGCCGGUGGCCGAGCUCCCUGUAAACCCUGCGGGCUGUCCCGGCCCUGCUUCGCUGGGCUCGUCCCUCUAGCGGGCCACGCAAGUAGGGUCAACCUGGAGCCAGGCACGGGCCCUGGACACUGCUGACCUGUCCAGCUGAGCCUUGCUUGGGAGAUCUUGCCAGCCACACCUUGGGGAACCCAACCUGGUACCCCAGUCUAGUGCCUCAGACU